CAGCAAUGCUGCUUAGUGGCAAACGGGUGCGUAACGCGUAAGCAACCUGCCCACCACCGGGGGAUAGCCUGGCGAAAGCGGGGGUAAACCCCCAUGGUUCUGUUUCAUCACCUGGUGAGACAGCUAAACAUUAAUGGGUGGUGGAGGGGCUUGCGUCUGAUUAGCUAGUUGGUGGGGUAAGGGCCUACCAAGGCCUUGAUCAGUAGGGGUUCUGAGAGGAUUGGCCCCCACAUGGGUACUGAGAUACGGACCCAACUCCUACGGGAGGCAGCAGUAGGGAAUAUUGGGCAAUGGGCGCAAGCCUGACCCAGCCAUGCCGCGUGGAGGAUGAAGGCGCUCAGCGUCGUAAACUUCUUUUACUCACGAAGAACAGCAGGGAUGAGUCUUUGUGUGACGGUAGUGAGUGAAUAAGCACCGGCUAACUCCGUGCCAGCAGCCGCGGUAAUACGGAGGGUGCGAGCGUUGUCCGGAUUUAUUGGGUUUAAAGGGUGCGUAGGUGGGCGGCUAAGUCUGGUUUGAAAGCAGGUGGCUCAACCAUCUGAUGUGGCUGGAAACUGGUUGUCUUGAAUGGGUUGGCGGUAGCCGGAACGGGUCAUGUAGCGGUGAAAUGCAUAGAUAUGACCCAGAACACCGAUUGCGAAGGCAGGCUACUAGGACUUGAUU
This 663-nucleotide ribosomal RNA is filed under the name uncultured bacterium. RNAcentral's name for it is "bacterial SSU rRNA". It matches the Rfam family "Bacterial small subunit ribosomal RNA", at positions 77 to 741 of the family's 1533-position model. The record is from RNAcentral.